RNAcentral lists this ribosomal RNA (398 nucleotides) under uncultured bacterium. RNAcentral describes it as "bacterial SSU rRNA". It matches the Rfam family "Bacterial small subunit ribosomal RNA", at positions 28 to 429 of the family's 1533-position model. The record is from RNAcentral.
GACGAACGCUGGCGGCGUGCUUAACACAUGCAAGUCGAGCGGUAAGGCCCUUUCGGGGGUACACGAGCGGCGAACGGGUGAGUAACACGUGGGUGACCUGCCCUCAGCUCUGGGAUAAGCCUGGGAAACCGGGUCUAAUACUGGAUAUGACUCCAUGACGCAUGUUGUGGGGUGGAAAGCCUUGUGCGGCUGAGGAUGGGCCCGCGGCCUAUCAGCUUGUUGGUGGGGUGANGGCCUACCAAGGCGACGACGGGUAGCCGGCCUGAGAGGGCGACCGGCCACACUGGGACUGAGACACGGCCCAGACUCCUACGGGAGGCAGCAGUGGGGAAGUCUUGCGCAAUGGGCGAAAGCCUGACGCAGCGACGCCGCGUGAGGGAUGACGGCCUCGGUGUAAC